RNAcentral lists this ribosomal RNA (508 nucleotides) under uncultured bacterium. RNAcentral describes it as "bacterial SSU rRNA". It matches the Rfam family "Bacterial small subunit ribosomal RNA", at positions 28 to 530 of the family's 1533-position model. The record is from RNAcentral.
GAUGAACGCUAGCGGGAGGCUUAACACAUGCAAGUCGAGGGGCAGCAUAGGGUAGCAAUACUCUGAUGGCGACCGGCAAACGGGUGAGUAACGCGUAUGUAACCUACCCUGUACAGGGGGAUAACCCGGAGAAAUUCGGACUAAUAUCCCAUAACAAUAUCCGGGGGCAUCUUUGGAUAUUUAAAGUUCCGGCGGUACGGGAUGGGCAUGCGUAACAUUAGCUAGUUGGUAAGGUAACGGCUUACCAAGGCUUUGAUGUUUAGGGGUCCUGAGAGGGUGGUCCCCCACACUGGUACUGAGACACGGACCAGACUCCUACGGGAGCAGCAGUGAGGAAUAUUGGUCAAUGGGCGCAAGCCUGAACCAGCCAUCCCGCGUGCAGGAAGACGGCGCUAUGCGUUGUAAACUGCUUUUCCAGGGAGAGAAACUUGCGCACGUGUUGCGCAAUUGACGGUACCCUGGGAAUAAGCAUCGGCUAACUCCGUGCCAGCAGCCGCGGUAAUCGUAG